AACGAACGCUGGCGGCAUGCCUAACACAUGCAAGUCGAACGAGACCUUCGGGUCUAGUGGCGCACGGGUGCGUAACGCGUGGGAACCUGCCCUUAGGUUCGGAAUAACUCCCCGAAAGGGGUGCUAAUACCGGAUAAUGUCUUCGGACCAAAGAUUUAUCGCCUUUGGAUGGGCCCGCGUUGGAUUAGCUAGUUGGUAGGGUAAAAGCCUACCAAGGCGACGAUCCAUAGCUGGUCUGAGAGGAUGAUCAGCCACACUGGGACUGAGGCACGGCCCAGACUCCUACGGGAGGCAGCAGUGGGGAAUAUUGGACAAUGGGCGAAAGCCUGAUCCAGCUAUGCCGCGUGAGUGAUGAAGGCCUUAGGGUUGUAAAGCUCUUUUACCCGGGAUGAUAAUGACAGUACCGGGAGAAUAAGCUCCGGCUAACUCCGUG
This 433-nucleotide ribosomal RNA is filed under the name uncultured bacterium. Its description in RNAcentral is "partial 16S ribosomal RNA". It matches the Rfam family "Bacterial small subunit ribosomal RNA", at positions 29 to 507 of the family's 1533-position model. The record is from RNAcentral.